CCUGGUGGCCUUAGCGCGGUGGUCCCACCUGACCCCAUGCCGAACUCAGAAGUGAAACGCCGUAGCGCCGAUGGUAGUGUGGGGUCUCCCCAUGCGAGAGUAGGGAACUGCCAGGC
Molecule: ribosomal RNA, 116 nt
Filed under: Escherichia coli
Lineage: Bacteria; Pseudomonadati; Pseudomonadota; Gammaproteobacteria; Enterobacterales; Enterobacteriaceae
Also listed under: 1 other name
Source: RNAcentral